UGAGAAUCAACACAUAGAAAAGAGGAACUUGGACAUCAUCCAUUGGGCCAACUCUAACGUGAGUGUUGGAUCUCGGCUGCGGAGAAUCUACAACUCCGGGGCUGGACGCGUGCUUCUCGUCCAGUGGUUGGUAAGUACUUGCUGAACAACAGCUUGUAAUCGGGACUGUUCCUGGGAAACCACAAUGGUAUUCGUCGUACCAAAAAAAGCCUCCUACGUGACCCUUCCUUGUAGGGCAUUUAUAGUACCACCUUCCUGGGUUUUGAGCCUUCGGGCCGGCACACAUUAGUAACAUCCGUCCGCGCUUGCAACUAUAGUCCAGCGCAGGAUGCCUGUCCAUAUAUCUGAAACCAAAACAAUUUUGAUGCCCAUCAGUCUAAUAUUAAAGCACAAUGACACGAUUAAGCAUAUUCUACCGUAAAGCAUACACAACAAACUAUUCAUAUCCCCUGUUGAAGUUCUUUCUAUAUUACUGACAAGCACCAAUGAUAUCUAACAAGCAGCUCAUUAUCCAAGCAUAUAAACAGAAAACCCAUUAUAUUGAAAGCCUCACAUAUACAGCAAUCAGCAUACACAACUUCUAAUAAGGUCAAUAGCAAAUGUGUACAACCCAAACAACAAGACAAGGUUCAGUCUAAAAUAUGCAUGGAGGAAGCAGUUCAAAUGUUGUUCGCAUAAUUGUUCCACAUGGAUUGUGCAAUUGCAUCUCGCUCUGCAUUCCAGGCCGGAGAGGACUCGAUUACAUCGAUGAAAUCGCCCUCAAUCUCAGCAUCAUUCUGCUCAUUUGUGGCUGCGUUGUCAAACUCGUGUUCAAUUGGGUCGUCGGGCAUCUCCGCACGGAUGAAAUUAUUAAGAAUGAAACAAGCCAUGAUAAGCCGGACCUGAGUCUUCACGGGAUAAAAGGUUGCACUUCUCAAUAUCCCCCAACGCAUUUUCAUGAUUCCAAAGGCACGUUCAAUGACGUUUCGUGCCUUCGAAUGCCGUAGGUUGAAUAACUCCAUUGCAUUCUGCGGUCGGGCUGUGUUCGGUCCCCAUUCCUUAAGAUGGUAUCGUACACCCUUGUACGGAGUUAAAAACCCCUCGCUGUUGGCGUACCCGUUGUCUGCUAGAUAAUAGUUUCCUGUUUCAUUACCAAUUCUGCUCUGUCAGAAUUCAGGAGCAAUUAAUUUCCAAAGUACAUAGAAGUUGUGUGAUAACAAAGAGUAAUACCUUUAGGCACUCUCAGCCCAUUAACUCGUACGAGGGCAUCGCGCAAUAUUCUCGAAUCAGCUGCCGAACCCUCCCAACCAGGCAAAGCGUAGACGAACUUCAUAUUACGAUCACAAACAGCGAGUGUGUUAGUAGAAAUCUGCCCUUUCCGUGUCCGGUACCUAGGCUUGUCAGCAUUGCUCACCAUGACGUUUAUAUACGUGCCAUCAAGAGCACCCAAACAGCCCUACGUAGUAGAAUUAACAUAACUCUCAAGGCAUUUGAAACUUAAGAUGAGUAGGCAGAAUAAUUGAACCUAAAAUAUGAAGAAAAGUAUGAAAAUGAGUUACCUUGAACCAUCGCCAUCUGCUAUCCGCACAAUCGUCUGGAACGGGAACGGGUUUGAUGAAUAAAACUUCGUGCAAUUUGAUAACUGCUUUCAGCACGAGAUGCACGAAUCUUGACACAGUUUGACCAGACCGGAUGAAAUCGAACCUAACAACCCUAUUUUUUUGUGGUGUGCUAGAAUGGAUAAAAACAUUGCCACUUGCUCUUCGACCUUAAUGUACCUUCCAUCCGUUAACCCCCCUAACUCACGUAGCAAAGUACAUAGACGACCGAAUGUGUUGCGGUCCAUACGUAAGUUCGACAGACAAUCGACAUCACUAACACCCACAAGCCUAUUCAUAUGCAUGGUUUGAGCAGGAAUACGUUCAAUAAUACCAAAAGCAGGCAGGUCGGAACCCCUCUUUCGUUUGCGUGACGCUAUCCUAACCAUAAUGUGGUAAGCUACCAAUAAUAAAACCAACUUUUGACAGAGAAGUUGCUCUUCCAUCAACAAGUAUAUACACAGGGUUUCAACGUCGUCUGUCGGCAUUAUGAUUCACUACAAACAAACGCAGAACACGAGUCUGCAAACGAAUGACAACUUUUACCCCAAAGCAAUACAGACGAAUAACGUGUAAUUCAAACUGAAGACAGUUCAUAUACUCUGCAUGUGCCAUAAUACCCAAAUUCAAAAACUACCAACAAAUUUCUCAUAAUUGGGUAAUUUCCCAAAUGGCAAACUUCAGGAGCAUACAAAUUCAAUAUCAUAUUCAAAUCACACAUAGUUCUUCAAUCACCAAAAAAACUGACACGAUAUUUGUUAAUACUCAAAGACACACUUGGAAAUAACAGCAAUUCAUUGUUAACAAUAUUCUGCCGAUCACAAUUGCAUACCGCAUUCAUAUAUAAAAUUAUCGCAGCCAGACACCUCAUAGACUAACGACAUAAGAAUCGUAUAAGAAAUAGUCACAGCAAUUCACGACAGGAGCAUGAGCAGUUUUUCUAUUCACGAUGGGUAUGAAAUAGGUGUAAGUACCUUGAUCUGUUUUGGUGGAGAUGAAACCCUCGCCCAACGAAAACAGCCUGCACAAGCACAAGACCACCAAUCCAGGUCCAGGACACACCUAAGUUCAAAAGGUUUUAAAAAUCCAAAAAUUAGAAAUAGUCACCACAAUUCAGUUUGUUGCCCAUAUCAAAAAGUCAAACUGAAGAAGAAGAACAAGAGUGAAAGAUUAAAAUGCUAGAAGAGCUGUCAAAUAUUAAGCUACAACACAAUGUUCUGGUAAAUCUACGAAUCUCAUUUUGCCAUUCAUAUUUCAAGCUGCAAGCUAGGCUUAGGAAUCUGCUGGACCAAUUGAAUUCUUACAAACACAGAACACAAAUUUGCAGCAGACGUCCAAGAAAAAAAAGAAAAAAAAAAUAAAAAACAAAAGGGAAUGGUCUAACAAAUAACACCUAAAGCUCAACCUCUUCGAAAUUUGAUUUCACCCAGCAUUUGUUUUUGUGGUAUUUAACAGAGGGACCAAUCAAAAAAAUACUGGAACUAAAUUCCCCAAAUCUGAUUUCAAAAUUUUCAAAUAUCGAAAUACAUCACCUGCGACGCACUCGACGUUUUUCUCCCGGCGAAUUCUUGAAGAACUGUUGCCCACUAUGACACAGAAAUGGCGCAGUAAGGCGACAAUUCACGAAGCCUUCGAUUUUGAAG
This 3220-nucleotide long non-coding RNA is filed under the name Salvia miltiorrhiza (redroot sage). RNAcentral describes it as "long non-coding RNA (SMIL_LNC007775)". The record is from RNAcentral. Lineage: Eukaryota; Viridiplantae; Streptophyta; Magnoliopsida; Lamiales; Lamiaceae.